Molecule: long non-coding RNA, 1969 nt
Organism: Oncorhynchus tshawytscha (Chinook salmon)
Lineage: Eukaryota; Metazoa; Chordata; Actinopteri; Salmoniformes; Salmonidae
Source: Ensembl
GUUGAGCUAGUAUUACUAGUAUUAAACAUGUUGAGCUAGUAUUACUAGUUGAGGUUGAGAUAGUAUUACUAGUAUUAAACAUGCUGAGCUAGUAUUACUAGUAUUAAACAUGUUGAGCUAGUAUUACUGGUAUUAAACAUGUUGAGCUAGUAUUACUGGUAUUAAACAUGUUGAGCUAGUAUUACUAGUAUUAAACAUGCUGAGCUAGUAUUACUAGUAUUAAACAUGUUGAGCUAGUAUUACUAGUUGAGGUUGAGAUAGUAUUCAACACGUUAAGCUAGUAUUAAACAGGUUGAGCUAAUAUUGAGCUAGCUAGUACUGCAUUACUACGUUUGAACCUAGUGUUUCUGAGAGAGUUUGAGGUGUAGAUUAUGGAUGUGUCUUUGGCUCACAGUAUACAAAAGGGUUAGUAAACAUACCGUUAUUUAUAAUAAAGGCAAAUAGUGGUGAUAAACAGUGAACCAGUAGACUGACAAAACAUUGAAAAAAAUGACAACAUAAAAAAAAAAAAAACACCCGAUAGACUAGACUCCCAUAUAUAAUGGCAUUAUACAUUGAUUGCAUUGUCAUUCUGUCUGCCUGGAGUUGUGACACUGAAGUAGCCUACAACAGCAUUUCAUUUCCUCAUUUUACCACUUCUGCUACAGUACAUUGGGGGUAGUAACAUCUAAAGAAUAUAUAUUAUCUGGGCUAUAAUAAGUCAAUAGCCUGAGUGCCAAUCUGUUUGUUAUCUAUUGCCAACUCCUUGUCCCUCCAUUAUUGUCAAUAUAGCACAAGCAGACUGGCACCCAGGCUAAGCAAAUAAAGUGUCUGUAAAAGCACUUGGUCAGUAGUUUACACAGUAAAGCAGCACCAACCCAAUGUACCCUGCCCACCGAGUACAUACGAAGUAAAGCCAGGUAUUUUCAUCCAAUUUCAUUUACCUACAUGUAUGUAGCUUGGUCCUUGCCAAUGUCUAUGGUGUGGUUGGCACGCCAAACAGGCAAGACAGCACAAACCGAUCUGGGGCCAGGCUAACCUAAAUUAGGGUCUGUGUACAAAGUCAUCUCCCCUCAGUUGUAUACCAUACAUACUAAAAUCCCACUGGGCAAAAACUGUUUGAAUCAACGUUGUUUCCACAACAUUUCAAUCCAGUAUGUGUUAUUUCAUAGUUUUGAUGUCUUCACUAUUAUUCUACAAUGUAGAAAAUAGCAAAAAUAAAGAAAAACCCUUGAAUGAGUAGGUGUGUCCAAACUUUUGACUGGUACAGUAUACCACACGGUAUAUACACUGAGUGGACAAACAUUAGGAACACCUUCCUAAUACGGAGUUGCACCUCCCCCUUUUGCCCUCAGAACAGCCUCAAUUCUUCCGGGCAUGGACUCUACAAGGUGUCAAAAGCAUUUCACAGGGUUGCUGGCCCAUGUUGACGCCAAUGCUUCCCACAGUGUGAAGUUGGCUGGAUGUCCUUUGGGUGGUGGACCAUUCUCGAUACCAGUGGAGGCUGCUGACGGGAGGACGGCUCAUAAUAAUGUCUGGAACGGAGCAAAUGGAAUGGCAUCAAACCAUGUGUUUGAUACCAUUCCACUGAUUCCACUCCAGCCAUUACCACGAACCAGUCCUCCCCAAUUAAGGUGCCACCAACCUCCUGUGCUUGACACACAUGGGACAGUGUUGAGUGUGAAAAACCCAGCAGCGUUGUAGUUCUUGACAUAAACCGGUGCGCCUGGCACCUACCACCAUACCCCGUUCAAAGGCACUUCAAUAUUUUGUCUUGCCCAUUUACCCUCUGAAUGGCACACAUACACAAUCCAUGACUCAAGGCUUAAAAAUCAUUCCUUAACAUGUCUCCUCCCCUUCACCUACACUGAUUAAAAUGGAUUUAACAAGUGACAUCAGUAAGGGAUCAUAGCUUUCACCUGGAUUCACCUGGUCGGUCUAUGUCAUGAAAAGAGCAAGUGUUGAUCAUGUUUUGUACUCUCAGUGUAAU